RNAcentral lists this unclassified non-coding RNA (345 nucleotides) under soil metagenome. Its description in RNAcentral is "partial contains 5.8S ribosomal RNA, internal transcribed spacer 2, and large subunit ribosomal RNA". The stretch from base 1 to 120 matches the Rfam family "5.8S ribosomal RNA", at positions 35 to 154 of the family's 154-position model. The record is from RNAcentral.
GAUGAAGAACGUAGCGAAAUGCGAUAACUAAUGUGAAUUGCAGAAUUCCGUGAAUCAUCGAGUCUUUGAACGCACAUUGCGCCCCCUGGUAUUCCGGGGGGCAUGCCUGUCCGAGCGUCAUUGCUGCCCUCAAGCACGGCUUGUGUGUUGGGCCCCGUCCUCCGAUCCCGGGGGACGGGCCCGAAAGGCAGCGGCGGCACCGCGUCCGGUCCUCGAGCGUAUGGGGCUUUGUCACCCGCUCUGUAGGCCCGGCCGGCGCUUGCCGAUCAACCCAAAUUUUUAUCCAGGUUGACCUCGGAUCAGGUAGGGAUACCCGCUGAACUUAAGCAUAUCAAUAAGCGGGGA